Molecule: non-coding RNA, 8619 nt
Organism: Benincasa hispida (wax gourd)
Lineage: Eukaryota; Viridiplantae; Streptophyta; Magnoliopsida; Cucurbitales; Cucurbitaceae
Source: RefSeq, a predicted model, not a curated record
AGGCAACUACAAAGUACCAAGCGUGCUAAAUCCUCAGUCUGUUUCUGUCACAUCACGACUAUAAAUACUCCCUUUAUUCUCGUUUUCUGUUUUUUUUUCGGGCGUCUAGAGAGAUAUCAAACAUCAAAUUACUCUGCCUCGUCGUGGCCUGGUACCAGCGUUUUUGGUCUCCCCGCGUGAGGCAUCGCAUACAAUCCAUUUCUCCCGUUUAGUUCGAUCACUUUUCUCAUGGUCAAGGAAUGUCGUCUCGGAAGCUAGUUCUUAGAUCCCUUUGGUUUGCUUUAAUCCGCGAGGAGAAGAAAACUGAAGAAAGCGAGAGCCCGAGCGCAACUGUUCCUCUGUGCCUGCGAAUUACUAGGUCAUCUUGUUUCUAGCGUCUUCUUAUGACCCAAACGAAGCAUUACGAUGUAGAAUCGGGUUAUUACAGAAUUCGCUUUCCAUCGGAGGAUAUUGGUGAUUGAUCACAUAGUUUGAAGCUCUAGAGCUUUGGGAGCUAGAAGUUCAUGUUUACCGAACUGCUGGAACAGUUUGCUGUAGUUGAGCAGAAGAGAUUCGAGUUGUACCCCAAUUUUGUAGCUCUUUCUGGUGCCUCAUUGUCUUGUUGCUGUGGCUGGCUGAGUUGAAGGUUGAUAGGUAUGCCUGCAUCCUCUCCAACACCAAGUCCAUUUGUAAGACUGCUUAUGUGUGCUCCAUUGGCAUCCUUCGUUCCAUAAACCUAGGAUGGUGAAAAUUUUCUCUUGAGGGUGACUAAGCAACUCAAAGUUUUAUUGGUUAACCGAUUAAAUCCUUUGGUUUUUCUUUUCUUGGGAUUUAAUUAAAGUUUGCCUCAGUUAUCUACAUCUAUACCUUUUUGUGUAAUUCCUGGUUUUCUUGACGAAUUAGGGUUACCUUCUCAUAAAGUUCCAUAUUGUUUUGGUGAAUAAAGUUUCCCUGUAACAAAGAGAAUGGAAUUUAGUAACCAAAAUAACUGAGAGCGGAAAUUUCAGAGCCGUAGUUCCUUAACCUUUCUGGUUAGUUCUUGUAUCUCAUCCACUAAGAUUUGAUCCUGCUCAAAGAAAUGAAAAGUUGUGUAAAACACCAAACCCAUUUAACAAAUAAUGCAGUUAGAUACCUUCUUCAUACGGACACCAUGGAGACUUAUCUCCAAUUGAUUUUCUAGAUUCUGUAGGUCUUUGACGCUCAGACCAGUCAGCUCUUCACCCAUCAUCUGCCUGUAACUAUAUCUAUUAGUGGUGUUCUAUCAGAAGGAAUUAGUGGUUUUCAUUUGAACUUUUCUAAGUUUUAUUUCCUUUCAAAUUGUAUAUCUGCUUUAACUUGAGCAAACAUGUGGAAGUAUGAUAGGCAAUAUACAUUUGGAUCAUGCUUGGUCAUCAAUAAAUGUUAUUCCCAUAUCUGAAUAAGUGUACAUGGUUAUGAGUUUGUGAAGUAAAUUUUUGGCUCAAUGCACUCAACGCUAUGGCCUAAGAAGUUGAAGGGAAGUCUCAUAUUUGCGAUUCACCCUAUUGCAUUUUCUUCUAGUAGUAUCGUUUAUCAAGUAAACAUAUAAUGAUGUAUAAUAUAAUAGGUAUGCUAGUACCGGUGAUUUUCAUGUAAGCUCUGCAGUUGCUGCCGUAAUGUUGCUGCUUCCCUUUGCCAGUACUGAUUAAAAAUCAGAGUGUAAUUUCUUUACUAUUUAGAAAUACAAGAGUAUGCCUUCUAUAUACAGGCGCAGAAAUGUUUUAAGCUAGCAUAGAGUUUAUUGGGAAGCAUGUAUGAAAAUGAAGGUACUUAGCAUGUUUAUUGUCGGUAAUUGUUCAGACACCAUUUCUAUCAUCAUAUGUAUAAAGAAUUGUUAUUUAAUGCAUGAAUAUUCAAAUACAAUAACAUGAACAUUCUUUUUCCACACUACAAACAGUAUAUACAUGUCUGCUUAUGAUCAUCAAUCUUUAAGUGAAAAAGUUAACCUUGAUACUAAAUUGGAUAUCGAGCCUGAAAUGCAUAUAUGUUGUGAAUGGAAAUUUUGAAUAUUUAAAUUUGACUAGUGUAACUGUUAUAUUGAAAUCUUAGAAUUCUUAAGUUUUUCAUUACAGAUGGCAAUGGAAUGUUAGCCUUCAGAUGGGCAUGGAAUCUCAUGUCUACACCUCAUUUCCUCUCAAAAUCCUUGCCUACAACCCUUGUUCGCUCAACAUCCUGGCCUACAACCCAUUUCCGAUUUACGGAAUCUGCAGGAGUCCAGAGAAUCCCAUUAAUGAAUUUGAGAAGACUUUCUUGAAACAUCGCUAGCUCAAGGGUCCAAGAUUCAUGCUGUCUAUGAUCGUUGUUCAGAAUUGUUCUUUCAACAUGGCAAGUACGUAGAAGGUAAAGCACGGAGAUACAGGUAGUCAUAGUGGUUUGACAUUGCAGAGCAAUGAUAUCCGGAUAAAACGUAGGUCGGGAGUGACUUGGUCAAGAGGGAUAGGUGGUCCAAUAGGUAAGUGCUAAAUUUUAUUUAUGAUCUACUGAUAUUUCACUUAGGUAAAUACCAUUUUUUUUCUCCACCGAUUAUCACUUAACCUAUCUAAUAGUUCUGCAUUUGGAUCUGUUUGGUAACAAUUUGGUUUUUGAAAAUUGUGCUUGUUUUCUUAUGCUUUCUUUACAAUGUUUUCAUCUUUUUUCAGAAUACAUUUGAUUUACAUGGCCAAAAGGUCGAGAAAGGUAUUGAAUACAUUUGAUUUCUUAACUGAACUCCAAAAAAAUAGUAGUUUUUCUAGAUUUAGAUUUAAAAAAUUGAAAACUAAAAACCAAAUGGUUAUCAAACUAGGACUUAAUAAUUGAAUAUAUUGGGUUUGAUUUUAUUUAAAGAUGUAUGCACCAUCCUGUUAGGUUCUGAUCACCAGCACACAGGAAAACCCAAUAGGAAUUGGCAAAUAUUCAAGAAGAAUAGGGAAACAGCCCUGUUUCUUAUAUAUUUAAAUCACGGAAACACCAGCUAAAGGACUACAAUAUAGAAAUAAUUGGCAAGAGAGGAAAUUUGUAAAGAACUCAAAGUUACAGCAAUACAACCUAUAUAACAGAUCCUGUUCAAAUAAAGUCGUCAAAGGAGAUUUGCAAAGAAUAACAAUAGGUUCAACAUAUUCGAGCAAGCUGAGAAUCCUCUCCAGGAAAGUCAAAGCUCACUCCCGGCCGACUACUCGAUAAGGGGUUUAGGGUUUUGAAUAAUCGACGGCAGGCUGGAAUUUUAGUGAGAGUUUUAGCUUUUUUGGAGAUGAUUCUCGGCUCUCUCAAAUGUGCUUAGUCUGAUUUUUAUCUUUGUGAAUUUCCAUUGUUGCUAGUUACUUUUUGUAUUGUGAUCGUGUAGCUUGUGAAGUGUUUCCGUGGAGUAAAUAUAUAAGAAAUAGGGGGUGUUUGCCCUGUUUUUCUCGGAUAUUUGCAUGUUCUUGUUGGGUUUUCCUGUGAACAGGUGAUUGGAUACCUAACAAAAAUUCAUUAAACUAAAAAGAGGACAGAAAUUAAAGAUAGUGACCAGAGCUUGGGGAUUUUGUUUAACUUAGAAUUAGAAUAGGUCAAAAUUAUGAUUAUAAGGUUAAACUGGUAAAUCUUCUGUUUGUGUAACAAAAUGUCAUUAACAAGAUGGAACUAUAAGCCAAAAGCUAAACGAGUUGGAGAGGAGUUUUCUUCAAUUGGCACAAAUCACUUGGAAUCUAUACUAUUUUGAAUAAGAGAAUUUUUGCUUUGAAUAUUGGAAAGAGACUAAUGUUUUAAGAUACAUACUCUGCAAGAGAGUGGAGAAGAACUUAAUGGAACAAAUAAUAAGCAUCAAAGAGAUUCAAUAAAGGAAAAAGGAAAAAACGCUUAGCAAACAAAACAAAGAAAAACUUGCAAAGAAAGAGCUGAAUAACGAAACACAACAAAAAAAACCAAGCCAAAAGACAACUCUUGAGUACCAUUAAAACCCUGAAACAAAAGGCCCAAAACUAGGGGGGAAAAUGAAAGAAGCUUCAACCAAAUAGAAAAAACCACCAAGUAAAAGAGCAGAACUGGGCCCAAAAACACCAAGAAAGAACCAGUGAACCCAAACCUCAGGAGAACAAACAAACAUAAAAAACGAAUUCCUUGUGAACUCAUGGGAGGAAUUGCACACAUCUCAAGACCACAAGCUUCACUCAAGCCCAUCUCUUAUAUUACAAAGAGCCCUUCCCUUCUAUCUACAAUACCCAGGAAAAUGCUCCUAAUGGCCUUAAACCUCAUUUCUUUCUAAUGUAAAAAAUGUCUCCCCCAAACCUUUCACACUUCGGAUGUGAAAGAGGAAAUAAUAUAAAGAUUCUCUAACCAGGUGUACUACUUUCAAGCUCUCCUAACUAUUCUUAUGAAUUAGCAUACAAACAUCAAAGUCAAGCAUACCCUGUAGGAGAAAUUCACACCUCCUCUUUCAUAUUAAGAUUCAUUUCUAGAUUAUAGAUUAAGAUUUCAAGACAAGCUAAGAGACGUAAUAUUAAGGAGUGCAGAAGCUCCUGUUGCCAAAAUGGCCCCAUUCUUGCGAAAUCUUCACAAAAAUAAACCAGUCCUCUCUAUUGGUCCGCUAAAAGGUCUACAACAGUUACCAUCAUCCAUAGCAAUCUGGGGAUGCUAGACUCAAAUUAUAGUUGAAAUGUUGAGCAUGGGUCUAUUUGCAUUUGUCUUUUUUUUCUUAACAGAAUCAAUAUUUGCAAGGGCAUACAGAAAAACUAGCCUACAAAACACCCAUUCUUAAAAAAGGAAUUCUAACUAAGUAAGAUGUUACUUAGAGAAUAAUUGCAAAAAAGUUUCCAUACUGAAGGCAAAAGGGCAAUUGUAAAGCUCUGCCAAACAAUAGUUACAACAAUGCUUGGAAACAUAAAUCAAAACAGAGGCAUUGAACUUGGUGAGAGACCUAAUUUCUUCCUGGGACCUACGCGUAAAAAAAUUUGCUAAUCCUCCCAAGUCGAACUGCCCCAUAAAACAAACUACACAUCGUAGAUAGUCUUUUAUUCCCAAAAAAGACUCUUAUUAAACAACAGUCUUGGUUACAAGCCAAGAAAAACACCAUAUGACUCAGAAAAAUAGCUCCAUAUUGAACGAACCAUCUGAGAUUGUCACAGGAGAUGAUCAGGAUGCUCAAGUACUUGGAGAAUCCUCAAUCCACCACUACGACCCGAUGAAAUGGAAGAACUCCUCUACAAGGUUCAUAGUGUCAACUCCCGUACAUGACUUGUCAAGUAAAAGAUUUGACAUUCAAAAUUUCAAAUCUGUUCGGUAACUAUUUUGUUUUUUGUUUUUGUUUUUUGAAAAUUAAACCUAUGGAUACUACUACUACUUAAUUUUUUUCCUUUUGUUUUCUACUUUUCACUAAUAGUUUAAAAAACCAAGCCAAACUUUGAUAAUUAAAAAAAGUAGUUUUCAAAAAGUUUUUGUUUUUGAAAUUUGGCUUAGAAUUCAAUCAUUGUACUUAAGAAAUAUGCACAUAUAAGCAAUGUGGAUAAAAUAGACUUACUUUUCAAAAACAAAAACAAAAAAUCAAAUGGUUAUCAAACAAGGUCUUCAUCAUUUUGAAGUUAGAGAAUAAAGUGUGCCUAGGAUGGAGGCUCCAUAAAAGAUGGAAGAAGAGCUAAAAGAACAUUUCCUUAAGACGGAUUGGAGGCCAAAGACGAAUAUAGGGAUCUCAUAACAAAGAAAGCAAAUCUAAAACGUCUGAAGUUUCUUUAUCCAAUAGAAGACGAUGAAAUUCAUAUAAAGCCAGCAAGAGACGUUUUUUAAUAAUUAAAUGAGAAGCACCCCCAUAUUUUGCUCUUCCUUAGAGACGUUCCUUAAGAUCUCUUCCUUCCUAAUUACUUUGAAAAUAGAGAAUUACUCCAGAAAAGCAUGUUUUCACUUGUUCAGGUUGUUAGAACUCAUUUACAUUAUCGAAUAUCAAGAAUCUGUUGGAUGAUAAUUUUUGUUUUAAAUCUUAUAUUUGAUACGAAUUAGGUCCUUAGUUUUUUCAGGUUUCUAAAUCCAUAUUUCUUUGUCGAAGCCAUAUUUUUUCGUCAACCUAAUCAUAGCUUAACCGACUUUGGCACGAAUCUUUACUUAAGAGGUUAAAGGUUCAAAUCCUCAUUUUAAUAUGUUAAACUAAAAAUCGUAUUUCUUUAUUUUUGUCAACUUUUUAAAAUAUUAUUUUUCAAAUAUUGACUUUCACAAAAAUUAAGAUUCUUCAUGAAUUGCUUAUUGAGACUAGGAGAGGGUUGUUUUCUUUACAUUGUUGAGAUUUUAUGUUCACUAGUAAUUGCCUUUCCGUCUAUUUUCAUAAGAUUUAUUUUCUUUGUCCUACUUUCUUUGUUGUAGGACAGAUUUAGUCUUGGAACUUUGAAAUUUGUAUUUAUUUAGUCUUGAAUUUCCAAGUGUUUAAUACGUUUCUAAACCUUCAAUUUUGUGUUUAAUGGGCCAGUGUCUAAUUUAAAAUUAUUGAUCUAGUAUUUAUAAAUUUGAAUUUUAUGUCUAAUAGCUCAAGGACUAAAUUUGCAAUUAGUUUAGAAAUUUAAAUAGUUAUAAACUCAAAGUUUGAGAUAGAGGAGAGAUAGCUUGUCAUAUCAAAUUCAUCUCACAAUAUUGUUGCAUGAUACACACACAUUCAUAACAUAACAUGGAUGUUUGCUUUUAUGUUUUUAAAAACAUUAAAUUCCAAUUCCAUACACCAUGUAUUUAAAUUAUUUUUCUUUUAACUUUUUACUCUGAUUACUUUUGAAGUUUUUGUUUGUUCACAAUAUAUUAUUGGGUGUGCAUUAGUUCAACUCAUUAAGUUAAAUAAAGCUUCCAAGUAUCAAAACCGUGUAUCUGAUUUUUCUCAAUUGAGAAUGAGUAUCAGAUCACCAUCUUUUAUUCUUAAUUUCAAUAUUUAUUUAUAUUGCUUUCUCGGGGAAAAAUAUUUUGUUAUCUUUCCUUUGAUUGUUCCAUGUGAUGAUGUCAUCUUUAGUUUUAUCACAACAGAAACCAUAAGUUCAUCUCAAUAGAUACCUUUUCUAUGUAUAUUUGUGAAAUUUUAAACAGACUAUAUAAAAACAAAAAAUUCUAUAGAAGUGAAAAUUUCUUGUGAAAUAAUAAAUUAAAAAGUUCUUGUGAUUAACACUUAUGAUGAUAUUUUAUUUUUGGUUUUCAUUAUCUGCCUCUAUAACCUACGUGUUAUACUUCGACUAGUGUUUUUGUCUAAAUAAUGAAGCUGUUUGAUAAUCACCUCGCUGUUUACAAAUUUACACUUUGAAUAAUGUUUAUAAAAUUACAAAUUAACUUUUAAAACAAAAUAAAUUUUGUUUUCGUAAGCAUACUCUACUAAAAUAUUUCUCAUUUUUCUUUCCCACUCACCUUAAUCUCUAAUAUUUACCUUUUUCAUCAACUUUUACUUUCCCCUUGCUAAAUCUCUCUAAACUUUCUAAGUUAGUUUUCGCUGUCUUAACUUCUUUUCUCCUUUUUUUUUCUUCAAUAUGUAUUCUUAUUUCUCUUUAAGUUUUUUCAUUCUAACGUCUCUUUCUAAAUUUUUUAUCCUUAUUUCUAGCGAUUUUUACGCUUGGUCAACAAAGUUUCCUCUAGCACAUCAUUAUAUAAUCUCAUUUUCUCAAUCAUUUGGUUUUUAGUUCAGUGACAUCAAUCCAUAAAUUUUGUUGCUUGUUACCUACUUUUCAAAGACAUUUUCAAAAUCAAGUCAAGUUUUAAGAAUCGAAAAUUAUAUGGAUUUUGAGAAUCAAUUUCUAUACAUUCUAGUUUCACUCAAAUCUUUAUACGUCAAAUGUAAAAAACUUGUUUUUAUUGUGAGAAUGUCUGAAAAUUCAAAUAUUUUUUUUUUAACGAAUGUAAUAAAAAAAUAAUUAAAAAAAUUUAAAGCUUAAUUUUAAAAAUUAAAAAUUAAAUCAAUGUCAAAUGGAGCUACCAAAGUAGUUUUUAAAAUUUUUGUUUAUCUGCGAAUUUGUCUUUAAGAAAGAUAAAAACCAAACUUAAUUUCAAAACUGAGCCCAAAAGUGUAUUGUUGAUUUUCGACAGUUGUCAUGUAAUGUAAUAUCUAUACCUUCUGUUCAGCGAGGAAAAGAAAAACUAGAGUAGGAAAAGAAAAUGAUUCAUAAUAGCAUUAUUCUAUUUCAUAUAAACUGCGGGCAGGCUCUACAUUGUUAUUAAUAGCUCGAUAAUCUUCCUUAGAAAAUAGUGGCACAUCAUAACCUAAAACAUAAAUCGAAUAUUUGUAUGAGCCAAGAGCAGAAACUUAUAAAAAGUCAAAACAUAGAAUCUCUUGUUCUUAUACAUCGAAAUGUUUGGAGCAUGUGCACCCAUCUCUUCAGCACUUCCGACCAGCCCUUCCAAUUCAGUAAUUGUUAUGAGGAGCCUUAGGAUAGCCGCUACAAAGGGGAAGAGUGAAACCAUGCAUUAUGGAUUCUAUUACUGGCUAUGAUUCUAGGAAGUGGUCUCAAAUGUUUUUCUCCUCACAUCCUCUGUUUCAUCUAGGGUCUAAGGACGGUAUGUGUUGUGCUUAGACAUUGGUUUUUUUCUCCUUUUUUCCUUAUUUACAACAAAGUUUUUUUUCUUUUUGUUCGUUUAUAUUUUUGUAAUUUUAACUCUGUACUUUUGAGGAUUUUGUUUUAUUUUAUUUUUACAUAAUGUAUAUUUUGGAAAAUGAUUCAAGUA